Molecule: ribosomal RNA, 460 nt
Filed under: uncultured bacterium
Lineage: Bacteria
Description: SSU rRNA
Rfam family: Bacterial small subunit ribosomal RNA
Source: RNAcentral
AGAAUCAACGCUGGCGGCGUGCCUAACACAUGCAAGUCGCACCGAGAAAGGGGCUUCGGCUCUGAGUAAAGUGGCGCACGGGUGAGUAACACGUGAAUAAUCUACCUCCGAGUGGGGAAUAACUGAGAGAAAUCUUAGCUAAUACCGCAUAACACUUACGAGUCAAAGCAGCAAUGCGCUUGGAGAGGAGUUCGCGGCCGAUUAGUUAGUUGGCGGGGUAAUGGCCCACCAAGACGAUGAUCGGUAUCCGGCCUGAGAGGGCGCACGGACACACUGGAACUGAAACACGGUCCAGACUCCUACGGGAGCAGCAGUGGGGAAUUUUGCGCAAUGGGGGAAACCCUGACGCAGCAACGCCGCGUGGAGGAUGAAAUAUCUUGGUAUGUAAACUCCUUUCGAUGGGGAAGAUAAUGACGGUACCCAUAGAAGAAGCCCCGGCUAACUUCGCGCCAGCAGCCGC